CCUACGGGAGGCAGCAGUGAGGAAUAUUGGUCAAUGGACGAGAGUCUGAACCAGCCAAGUAGCGUGCAGGAUGACUGCCCUAUGGGUUGUAAACUUCUUUUAUAUGGGAAUAAAAUGUUCCACGUGUGGGAUUUUGUAUGUACCAUAUGAAUAAGGACCGGCUAACUCCGUGCCAGCAGCCGCGGUAAUACGGAGGAUCCGAGCGUUAUCCGGAUUUAUUGGGUUUAAAGGGAGCGUAGGUGGAUUGUUAAGUCAGUUGUGAAAGUUUGCGGCUCAACCGUAAAAUUGCAGUUGAAACUGGCAGUCUUGAGUACAGUAGAGGUGGGCGGAAUUCGUGGUGUAGCGGUGAAAUGCUUAGAUAUCACGAAGAACUCCGAUUGCGAAGGUAGUUCACUGGACUGCAACUGACACUGAGGCUCGAAAGUGUGGGUAUCAAACAGGAUUAGAUACCCCUGUAGUC
This 460-nucleotide ribosomal RNA is filed under the name uncultured bacterium. RNAcentral's name for it is "partial 16S ribosomal RNA". It matches the Rfam family "Bacterial small subunit ribosomal RNA", at positions 338 to 795 of the family's 1533-position model. The record is from RNAcentral.